This 253-nucleotide ribosomal RNA is filed under the name Ruminococcus callidus. RNAcentral's name for it is "partial 16S ribosomal RNA". It matches the Rfam family "Bacterial small subunit ribosomal RNA", at positions 524 to 776 of the family's 1533-position model. The record is from RNAcentral. Lineage: Bacteria; Bacillati; Bacillota; Clostridia; Eubacteriales; Oscillospiraceae.
UACGUAGGGAGCGAGCGUUGUCCGGAAUUACUGGGUGUAAAGGGAGCGUAGGCGGGAUGGCAAGUCAGAUGUGAAAACUAUGGGCUCAACCCAUAGACUGCAUUUGAAACUGUUGUUCUUGAGUGAGGUAGAGGUAAGAGGAAUUCCUGGUGUAGCGGUGAAAUGCGUAGAGAUCAGGAGGAACAUCGGUGGCGAAGGCGGCUUACUGGGCCUUUACUGACGCUGAGGCUCGAAAGCGUGGGGAGCAAACAGG